This 409-nucleotide ribosomal RNA is filed under the name Fusobacteriota bacterium. RNAcentral describes it as "Fusobacteria bacterium partial 16S ribosomal RNA". It matches the Rfam family "Bacterial small subunit ribosomal RNA", at positions 355 to 776 of the family's 1533-position model. Lineage: Bacteria; Fusobacteriati; Fusobacteriota. The record is from RNAcentral.
UGGGGAAUAUUGCACAAUGGAGGGAACUCUGAUGCAGCAACGCCGCGUGCGGGAUGACGGCCUUCGGGUUGUAAACCGCUUUCAGCCAUGACGAAGCUUUUGUGACGGUAGUGGUAGAAGAAGCACCGGCUAACUACGUGCCAGCAGCCGCGGUGAUACGUAGGGUGCGAGCGUUGUCCGGAAUUAUUGGGCGUAAAGAGCUUGUAGGCGGUUUGUCGCGUCGGUAGUGUAAACACGCAGCUUAACUGUGUGCCUGCUGUCGAUACGGGGUGGCUAGAGGAGGGUAGGGGGGAAUGGAAUUCCCGGUGGAGCGGUGGAAUGCGCAGAUAUCGGGAGGAACACCAGUGGCGAAGGCGGUUCUCUGGACCUUUCCUGACGCUGAUAAGCGAAAGCGUGGGUAGCAAACAGG